AUUGAACGCUGGCGGCAUGCUUUACACAUGCAAGUCGAACGGCAGCACGAAAGAGCUUGCUCUUUUGGUGGCGAGUGGCGAACGGGUGAGUAAUGCAUCGGAACGUACCGAGUAAUGGGGGAUAACUGUCCGAAAGGAUAGCUAAUACCGCAUACGCUUUGAGAAGGAAAGUGGGGGCUCUUCGGACCUCACGUUAUUCGAGCGGCCGAUGUCUGACUAGCUAGUUGGUGGGGUAAAGGCCUACCAAGGCGACGAUCAGUAGCGGGUCUGAGAGGAUGAUCCGCCACACUGGGACUGAGACACGGCCCAGACUCCUACGGGAGGCAGCAGUGGGGAAUUUUGGACAAUGGGCGCAAGCCUGAUCCAGCCAUGCCGCGUGUCUGAAGAAGGCCUUCGGGUUGUAAAGGACUUUUGUUAGGGAAGAAAAGGAUAGUGUUAAUACCAUUAUCUGCUGACGGUACCUAAAGAAUAAGCACCGGCUAACUACGUG
RNAcentral lists this ribosomal RNA (490 nucleotides) under uncultured bacterium. RNAcentral's name for it is "partial 16S ribosomal RNA". It matches the Rfam family "Bacterial small subunit ribosomal RNA", at positions 30 to 507 of the family's 1533-position model. The record is from RNAcentral.